AGGCGUAAAAUUGACCCGUUAUUGAGAACCUCCACGAUCUGUCAAAUAACGGGUCAUUUUUUCGGGUCAAUAUUACCCUUUAUUUCAAAAAGCUCGAGUCCGCUUCAAAGGGGUAGAUUUAGAUGUUACAUUGAAAGCGUUAUUAUUUGUCCGGUCAUUGAUAUGGAAAAUUAACAGCACAGUUCCGCACGAGGACGGUAAAAAUUUGUAAGCCGAUGACUAAAACCGGAAACAUGGAUGUUGGAUGGUAAAUACAAAAUGGUGAAUAAAUUUAUUUAUUGUAAUUUUUGAAUAAACAAAAUGGAACAUGA
Molecule: long non-coding RNA, 311 nt
Organism: Uranotaenia lowii
Lineage: Eukaryota; Metazoa; Arthropoda; Insecta; Diptera; Culicidae
Exons: 2
Source: RefSeq, a predicted model, not a curated record